UGUAAAUGUGAAGGAAAAUAAAAGAAUAUACAACUGGACUUCACCAUGCAUUCUGUAAACAUUGUAAAUGUGUUUUUACACCUAACAGAAACCACAGAGAACAGGACAGAAAAAGAAAAAUGCAAGAUGUGGUAUUUCCUGUAAGCCUUCACUUCUGGCUUAUGAAAGUAUCUUUCAUUUCCUUCUCUCUCUCUCUCUCUCUCUCUCUCUCUCUCUCUUUCUCUCUCUCUCUCAUCCUUGUCAGCGGUAGGCCAAGCACACAGCUGAGUUGAACUGUGGCUCACACCGUCCCUCCAAUUCUGGAGACUGAUGCUGGUGCCAGUCGUCGUCGUGGUACCACGACAUCACCUUCUGGAAUACUGUGAGCUCCAGGGCCUCGUUCUGAGUCGUGAUGGGAAACAACCUGUGUGGGAUACUAAAGUAAGCACCACACAUCUGUCAUUUUGAAUUAGAAGAAAGAAAGAGAAUGGAAAAGUAAAGGACAGAGGGAAGGAGGGAAGAAAGAAACUCAAGAAAACGGUAGGCCAAACACACAGCUGAGUUGAACUGUGGCUCACACCAUCCCUCCAAUUCUGGAGACUGAUGCUGGUGCCAGUCGUCGUCGUGGUACCACAACAUCACCUUCUGGAAUACUGUGAGCUCCAGGGCCUCGUUCUGAGUCGUGAUGGGAAACAACCUGUGUGGGAUACUAAAAUGAAAGAUAUGCAGUGGAUUUUUUUCUGUG
Anguilla anguilla (European eel) is the source of this 724-nucleotide long non-coding RNA. RefSeq lists it as uncharacterized. The transcript has 3 exons. The record is from RefSeq and is a predicted model, not a curated record. Lineage: Eukaryota; Metazoa; Chordata; Actinopteri; Anguilliformes; Anguillidae.